This 765-nucleotide ribosomal RNA is filed under the name Triticum aestivum (bread wheat). Its description in RNAcentral is "partial small subunit ribosomal RNA". Lineage: Eukaryota; Viridiplantae; Streptophyta; Magnoliopsida; Poales; Poaceae. The record is from RNAcentral.
AUGGAGGAGCACAAGCUGAGGGCCAUCCGUCACCUCCUUCAUCGGGCUAACUGCAAGACAACCCUUGCCGAGCUCGUCGCCGCCGUGGACGAGGUGGGCGAUGAGGUGCAGCAGGACGCCUACAUGGACCUGGGCGAAGAGUUUCUCCAAAAAGAUAAACACAGAUGGCUGCUUCUUGCUAGAGGUGAUGAAGACAGUUGCGGCCGUAUAGAGGAAAAGGGGUCCAUUUUCAUGGCAAUGGACUACACGCAUGGUGACCCCGUCUUCAGCAAGCAUGGAAUCCAGCACAUCAAGCCAUUCGUCCAACGCGACAUGCUCAUGGUUGAGAACCAACUCCCAGUGAUGUUGCUCGAGAAGAUCGUUGCAGCGGAGGAAUGCAAACCACCGGCCUCCUCAAGAUUAAAAGUUGGAUGUGUUCGUGCCUCAAGCCCCCCUCCACAGAAUAUCCAUAGAGCCAGGGGUGUGGAGAUAGAGACGGGGACACCGCAUCUUCCCCAUCCAAAUAUGCAUCCGCAGAGAGUGGUGCCACGGUCGGCGUGGAACUUGUCUAAGGCAGGGUUUCGGUUCGUGCCCAGCAGCACUCUACAUGCCCAAGGUACUUCUAGACGACUCGACCGCCUACAAGUUCCACAACAUGAUGGUGUUCGAGGCGAUGCACGUGGGCACCAGGAACGACGUGACGACGUAUGUCUUGUUCGUCAAGGACCUCGUGGAUUCCGUCGAGGACGUGCCCCUGCUGGUGAAGAAGAUGAUCUUGGAGCAUGA